UAUUGGUCAAUAGCCUAACGGCUGAACCAGCAACUUGGAGGAAUGUAUAGGGAAACCUGGUAAAAUGAGAGUACCUAGUAAUAUUAGUAAUUAAUAUGAGAUUAACUUUGUUAAUUAAAAUUCAAAGUAGAUGUGUGAUUAUGACAAUAUCUGCUUAGGUCUUGACCAAGUCACGUGCCAGCAGUCGCGGUAAUACGUGGUAGACGAGUGUUAUUCAUCUUUAAUAGGUUUAAAGGGUACCUCGACGGUUAAUUAAGCAAAAUGUACUAAUUAACUAGAGUUUAAUGUAAGAAGGAUCGAGUACAGUGAGUGUAGAGAUAGAAUUCUUUGAUACCAUAUAGGAACUGGUAAAGGCGAAGGCAACUUCUAUGUAAAAAACUGACGUUCAGGGACGAAGGCUCAUGUAAAAGAAUAGGAUUAGAUACCCUAGUAUUUUGGGCAGAAAAUGAUGAGUGUCAUAUGCAAGAAAUAUUAUGUGUAUAAAUGAAAGUGCAAGCACUCCACCUCAAGAGUAACGUGGCAACACGGGAACUGAAAUCAUUAGACCGUUUCUGAAACUCGUAGUGAAGUAUGUUGUUUAAUUUGAUGGUCCACAAAAAACCUUACCACAAUAUGAAUAACUAUAGUACAAUUAUAAUAUAGUUACAAGCGUUGCACGGCUGUCUUCAGUCAAUGUUGUGAAACUUUGGUUAGAUCCAUUUAAUUGACGUAAACCCUUACUUUAUUUGUUAUAAAGUAGUUCGCCGCUAUAUUGGUAGUGAUAUAUGGGACUAGGACAAGUCAUCAUGACCUGAACAUUGUGGGCUAUAGAC
RNAcentral lists this ribosomal RNA (812 nucleotides) under Thelotrema vernicosum. RNAcentral's name for it is "SSU rRNA". It matches the Rfam family "Bacterial small subunit ribosomal RNA", at positions 362 to 1221 of the family's 1533-position model. The record is from RNAcentral. Lineage: Eukaryota; Fungi; Ascomycota; Lecanoromycetes; Ostropales; Graphidaceae.